Molecule: ribosomal RNA, 549 nt
Filed under: uncultured bacterium
Lineage: Bacteria
Description: bacterial SSU rRNA
Rfam family: Archaeal small subunit ribosomal RNA
Source: RNAcentral
AGUGAAUAGAUACCCUGGUAGUCCUAGCCGUAAACGAUACUCGCUAGGUGUCGGCCACGGUGCGACCGUUGUCGGUGCCGUAGGGAAAGCCGUGAAGCGAGCCACCUGGGAAGUACGGCCGCAAGGCUGAAACUUAAAGGAAUUGGCGGGGGAGCACCACAACGGGUGGAGCUUGCGGUUUAAAUUGGAUUCAACGCCGGAAAUCUUACCGGGACCGACAGCAACAUGAAGGCCAGGCUGAAGACUUUGCCGGAUUAGCUGAGAGGUGGUGCAUGGCCGUCGUCAGUUCGUACUGUGAAGCAUCCUGUUAAGUCAGGCAACGAGCGAGACCCACGCCCACAGUUGCCAGCGUACUCUCUGGAGUGACGGGUACACUGUGGGGACCGCCGCUGCUAAAGCGGAGGAAGGAAUGGGCAACGGUAGGUCAGUAUGCCCCGAAUAUCCCGGGCUACACGCGAGCUACAAUGGUUGGUACAAUGGGUAUCUACCCCGAAAGGGGAUGGAAAUCUCCUAAAGCCAAUCUUAGUUCGGAUUGAGGGCUGCAACUCG